GAUGAACGCUGGCGGCGUGCCUAAUACAUGCAAGUCGAGCGAACAGACGAGGAGCUUGCUCCUCUGAUGUUAGCGGCGGACGGGUGAGUAACACGUGGAUAACCUACCUAUAAGACUGGGAUAACUUCGGGAAACCGGAGCUAAUACCGGAUAACAUGUUGAACCGCAUGGUUCAACAGUGCAAGACGGUCUUGCUGUCACUUAUAGAUGGAUCCGCGCCGCAUUAGCUAGUUGGUAAGGUAACGGCUUACCAAGGCAACGAUGCGUAGCCGACCUGAGAGGGUGCUCGGCCACACUGGAACUGAGACACGGUCCAGACUCCUACGGGAGGCAGCAGUAGGGAAUCUUCCGCAAUGGGCGAAAGCCUGACGGAGCAACGCCGCGUGAGUGAAGAAGGUCUUCGGAUCGUAAAACUCUGUUAUUAGGGAAGAACAAAUGUGUAAGUAACUAUGCACGUCUUGACGGUACCUAAUCAGAAAGCCACGGCUAACUACGUG
Molecule: ribosomal RNA, 497 nt
Filed under: uncultured bacterium
Lineage: Bacteria
Description: partial 16S ribosomal RNA
Rfam family: Bacterial small subunit ribosomal RNA
Source: RNAcentral